UUGGGACCCACCCGAGAGUGGGUCACCAUGGCUUUGGAGCACCUAGUAGCGUGUCCACCUUGAAGACCAGAGUUUCGAUGACCUUAAGACUGACCUGGGGAGACGUGACUGCAGGCCAUUGAGGAAGAUGGCACCAAAAGUGAAGAAGGAAGCUCCUACCCCUCCUAAAGCCAAAGCCGAAGCGAAGGCUUUAAAGGCCAAGAAGGCAGUGUUGAAAGGUGUCCACAGCAACACACAGAAAAGAAGAUCCGCAUGUCACUCACCUUGAGGUGGCCCAAGACACUGCGACUCCGGAGGCAGCCCAAAUAUCCUCGGAAGAGCACCCCCAGGAGAAACAAGCUUGACCACUACGCUAGCAUCAAGUUUCUGCUGACCACUGAGUCGGCCAUGAAGAAGAUAGAAGAAAACAACAUGCUUGUGUUCAUUGUGGAUGUUAAAGCCAACAAGCACCAGAUCAAACAGGCUGUGAAGAAGCUCUGGGACAUGGAUGUGGCCACAGUCAACAUCCUGAUUUGACCUGAUAAAGAGAAGAA
RNA transcript from Mandrillus leucophaeus (drill), 533 nucleotides. It is a transcript of the gene named 60S ribosomal protein L23a pseudogene, with no coding region annotated. Lineage: Eukaryota; Metazoa; Chordata; Mammalia; Primates; Cercopithecidae. The transcript has 2 exons. The record is from RefSeq and is a predicted model, not a curated record.